GACGAACGCUUGCGGCGUGCUUAACACAUGCAAGUCGAACGGAAAGGCCCUGCUUUUGUGGGGUGCUCGAGUGGCGAACGGGUGAGUAACACGUGAGUAACCUGCCCUUGACUUUGGGAUAACUUCAGGAAACUGGGGCUAAUACCGGAUAGGAGCUCCUGCUGCAUGGUGGGGGUUGGAAAGUUUCGGCGGUUGGGGAUGGACUCGCGGCUUAUCAGCUUGUUGGUGGGGUAGUGGCUUACCAAGGCUUUGACGGGUAGCCGGCCUGAGAGGGUGACCGGCCACAUUGGGACUGAGAUACGGCCCAGACUCCUACGGGAGGCAGCAGUGGGGAAUAUUGCACAAUGGGCGGAAGCCUGAUGCAGCAACGCCGCGUGCGGGAUGACGGCCUUCGGGUUGUAAACCGCUUUCGCCUGUGACGAAGCGUGAGUGACGGUAAUGGGUAAAGAAGCACCGGCUAACUACGUGCCAGCAGCCGCGGUGAUACGUAGGGUGCGAGCGUUGUCCGGAUUUAUUGGGCGUAAAGGGCUCGUAGGUGGUUGAUCGCGUCGGAAGUGUAAUCUUGGGGCUUAACCCUGAGCGUGCUUUCGAUACGGGUUGACUUGAGGAAGGUAGGGGAGAAUGGGAUUCCUGGUGGAGCGGUGGAAUGCGCAGAUAUCAGGAGGAACACCAGUGGCGAAGGCGGUUCUCUGGGCCUUUCCUGACGCUGAGGAGCGAAAGCGUGGGGAGCGAACAGGCUUAGAUACCCUGGUAGUCCACGCUGUAAACGGUGGGUACUAGGUGUGGGGUCCAUUCCACGGGUUCCGUGCCGUAGCUAACGCUUUAAGUACCCCGCCUGGGGAGUACGGCCGCAAGGCUAAAACUCAAAGGAAUUAACGGGGCCCCGCACAAGCGGCGGAGCAUGCGGAUUAAUUCGAUGCAACGCGUAGAACCUUACCUGGGUUUGACAUGGAUCGGGAGUGCUCAGAGAUGGGUGUGCCUCUUUUGGGGUCGGUUCACAGGUGGUGCAUGCCUGUCGUCAGCUCGUGUCGUGAGAUGUUGGGUUAAGUCCCGCAACGAGCGCAACCCUUGUUCACUGUUGCCAGCACGUUAUGGUGGGGACUCAGUGGAGACCGCCGGGGUCAACUCGGAGGAAGGUGGGGAUGACGUCAAGUCAUCAUGCCCCUUAUGUCCAGGGCUUCACGCAUGCUACAAUGGCUGGUACAGAGAGUGGCGAGCCUGUGAGGGUGAGCGAAUCUCGGAAAGCCGGUCUCAGUUCGGAUUGGGGUCUGCAACUCGACCUCAUGAAGUCGGAGUCGCUAGUAAUCGCAGAUCAGCAACGCUGCGGUGAAUACGUUCCCGGG
This 1343-nucleotide ribosomal RNA is filed under the name uncultured bacterium. Its description in RNAcentral is "16S ribosomal RNA". It matches the Rfam family "Bacterial small subunit ribosomal RNA", at positions 28 to 1378 of the family's 1533-position model. The record is from RNAcentral.